Erpetoichthys calabaricus (reedfish) is the source of this 738-nucleotide long non-coding RNA. RefSeq lists it as uncharacterized. The record is from RefSeq and is a predicted model, not a curated record. NCBI's taxonomy places the organism in Eukaryota, Metazoa, Chordata, Cladistia, Polypteriformes, Polypteridae. The transcript is spliced from 4 exons.
UGUAACUUUAACCAAAAGUUUCACAGUUUGUGAUCCCUACCUCUUUGAUGUUCCGCCUCAUAGAGUUUCCUCUUAAAUAACCUGCCAUUGUACCAAGCGACGAAACUCCAUUAAACAAAAGGAGACAAAAAAGAAGUUGCGGUGAUGAAACUCCAUUAGACAAAAGAAGAAGCGACGAAACUAAUUGCUCGUAUUUUUGACAAUGGAACCAGCUUGAUACAAGAAUAUCUUCUGGAAAUUGGAUGUUAAUGAAAAAUCAGGACAUCCCUGCUGGUUCAGUAGACUGUGGAAUAGACACAUUGACGGUAUUUGAAUAUUAACUGCUGUUGUAUCUGAAAAGGUGUCAUCCAAAUGGUUUAAAAAUGAUGAAGAUCCUAAAGGUCACCAGGUAAUGACCUAUGUUAUAUACAGUAGAAGAUGAGGAGCUGACAGAUGGCCUCUACAACUACCUGAUGAAGUUCUGUCAAGAGCCGUAGGCACUUUUGAAAUGAUCGACACCCCGAGUUCUCAUCAUUCUGGAUGUGCUGAUGCCAGAUGCUCAUUUGUCUUCAGUGAAUCUCUAAUGAGUACAGAGAGUGUCUCUAUGAGUAAGAAGCAGAAGGUCUGUUCAUUGAUGGACCAGCAGACAGUGAGUGGUACGUCAUGUGGUGUUGGGGAGCAGACAGUCCUUUCUUUUUAUUUUCAGCAUCAUUAUUCUGUUAAUCAGAAUAUCAUUUUAUUUGUAGUGAAUUUAGACAA